UUUGUACCUCUCUGCUCCUUGUGACAACAUUCCAUCAACAGAGAGGUGAAGCUCAAAGAAUUCUCCCAGAAAGAAAGUCACUCCUUUCCUCUUUCCAUGAGAGAAAUCGGCUAGAUGUAAACACACAGACACAAGAAGGCUUUUACCCAGUAUGGAGAAGCUUCUGUGUUGGCAGUCUCCCGCCAGCAUGUAGCUGCAGUCUCCAGGGAACUCAUAAAUCACACCGUCAAAUGUGUGUAUAUGCUGCCGGCUAAACAGACUACAGCGACCGGAUCCCUCGACAGUCACAAAACCUACAGAACAAAGAGGACAAACAUGCUCAACUCUCACCUGAAAAAUUCAAGACGAAAACCCAUAGGAUUCUGCUCCAUCCUUUCCAUCUACACGACUCCAUCUGAUUAAAGAAAAAGAAGAAAUCCUGAGAGAUUUAGCCCAGUAAUCACCUGAAACACC
Ctenopharyngodon idella (grass carp) is the source of this 453-nucleotide long non-coding RNA. RefSeq lists it as uncharacterized. The record is from RefSeq and is a predicted model, not a curated record. NCBI's taxonomy places the organism in Eukaryota, Metazoa, Chordata, Actinopteri, Cypriniformes, Xenocyprididae. The transcript is spliced from 3 exons.